UUAUGACUGGAGCAUUUCACACAAAAAUAUACAACAUACAACUUAGGAUACAAGUAGACAAGUUUGGGUUGAUAUGAGGUUCAAUGGAAAAAAAAAUUCAACUGUAACAGGCUGCCAAAAGUUGUUGACUUUGAGAUACAAAAAUUAUAGUUUCAUGGAACCUUACAAUUAAAGUGAAAACUAAUUUGAUGAGACGUAAAACAAGGAUGAAUGAUAAGAACCAAAGUGAUUGCAAGCCCCCAUAAAUCAUGAAAAUUCAAUUUAAUUUUUUGUAUUACAAAAUAUUCUAUUUGAGGUGCGAUAAUUGAUAUACUGCUUUCACAGAUAGUUGAACCAGAUCAAUCGAUCUUGCUCUUCAUCUCAGGUCAAUACAGAUGCCGAUGAGUCAAUGAAGAAAUUUGUUUUGGCAUUUGUUGGAAAAAAAUGGCGAGAGUGGAAGGCUAGAGUUAAACAAAUGAGGUAUACACCAUUCGACAAUGAUGCUGAUAGGUUAACUUAUCGACUCGAAAGAGUACAUGAGCAUCAAUGGCGAAGCUUAGUCUAUUAUUGGGGCACUCGGAAGGCACA
Camellia sinensis is the source of this 567-nucleotide non-coding RNA. Lineage: Eukaryota; Viridiplantae; Streptophyta; Magnoliopsida; Ericales; Theaceae. The record is from RefSeq and is a predicted model, not a curated record.